RNAcentral lists this ribosomal RNA (497 nucleotides) under uncultured bacterium. RNAcentral describes it as "partial 16S ribosomal RNA". It matches the Rfam family "Bacterial small subunit ribosomal RNA", at positions 28 to 507 of the family's 1533-position model. The record is from RNAcentral.
GAUGAACGCUGGCGGCGUGCCUAAUACAUGCAAGUCGAGCGAACAGACGAGGAGCUUGCUCCUCUGACGUUAGCGGCGGACGGGCGAGUAACACGUGGAUCACCUACCUAUAAGACUGGGAUAACUUCGGGAAACCGGAGCUAAUACCGGAUAAUAUAUUGAACCGCAUGGUUCAAUAGUGAAAGACGGUUUUGCUGUCACUUAUAGAUGGAUCCGCGCCGCAUUAGCUAGUUGGUAAGGUAACGGCUUACCAAGGCAACGAUGCGUAGCCGACCUGAGAGGGUGAUCGGCCACACUGGAACUGAGACACGGUCCAGACUCCUACGGGAGGCAGCAGUAGGGAAUCUUCCGCAAUGGGCGAAAGCCUGACGGAGCAACGCCGCGUGAGUGAUGAAGGUCUUCGGAUCGUAAAACUCUGUUAUUAGGGAAGAACAAAUGUGUAAGUAACUAUGCACGUCUUGACGGUACCUAAUCAGAAAGCCACGGCUAACUACGUG